This 389-nucleotide ribosomal RNA is filed under the name Choanoflagellata sp. RNAcentral's name for it is "partial small subunit ribosomal RNA". It matches the Rfam family "Eukaryotic small subunit ribosomal RNA", at positions 582 to 975 of the family's 1831-position model. Lineage: Eukaryota; Choanoflagellata. The record is from RNAcentral.
AUUCCAGCUCCAAUAGCGUAUAUUAAAGUUGUUGCAGUUAAAAAGCUCGUAGUUGGAUUUCUGUUCUCGAGGAUCGGUCCGCCUCACGGUGAGCACUGGUUUUUCUUGGGGACAUCCUCUCGAAGGCGGGUGGUGCACUUAAUUGUGUGCUGCUUGGAUUCGGGACCUUUACUUUGAAAAAAUUAGAGUGUUCAAAGCAGGCGUCGGCUUGAAUACAUUAGCAUGGAAUAAUGGAAUAGGACUUUGGUUCUAUUUUGUUGGUUUCUAGGACCGAAGUAAUGAUUAAUAGGGAUAGUUGGGGGUGUCUGUAUUGUGUUGUCAGAGGUGAAAUUCUUAGAUUUACACAAGACAAACUACUGCGAAAGCAUUCACCAAGGAUGUUUUCAUUA